Long non-coding RNA from Oryza sativa Japonica Group (Japanese rice), 1553 nucleotides. RefSeq lists it as uncharacterized. Lineage: Eukaryota; Viridiplantae; Streptophyta; Magnoliopsida; Poales; Poaceae. The record is from RefSeq and is a predicted model, not a curated record.
AUUUUAGUAAAGUUGCUAAAAAAAGUGGCUACAUUUAGUUUGUUGCCAAAUUUUGGUAACUAUAUAAGAAAUCUUGCCAACAUUUUUGGUAAGGUUUUUUUUGGCAGCAAAGUGAACAGGCCCUAAAAUCUAAAUGCGCCUAAACACGACAUGCAUGUUAAUAUCUACAAAGUCGUUAUAUAUAUAAAGAGUCAUCAGGAGUACACGUUAGACAUGCAAAUUCCUUAUAUUUUAGGAUAAAAUUCGAAUCCUUCAUGAAUGGAAACGGAGGAAUCCUUUUGUCCUAAACAAAAAAGAAACAAAAAAGAGGAUAAAAUUUUUAUAUUGAAGCUAAGAGUAGCGGGCCUCAUGGCCCAGGAGGCCAUUUCACCAAGCCCAGUCCUCGAGCCCGCGUAACUGCAAAAGGCCAUCUCGCCGCCGGCGCCGCCGCCGCCGUCGUCGUCCUUCCCCCCGGCCACCGCGUGCGCCCGCGCGCUCGCGAUGCCCCUCGCUUCCUAUGCCCCGCCCCGCCGUAAGCGGAGCGACCUCGAAAGGCGGCGUGCGUCGUCGUGCUUGCGCCGCGCCGCGCGCGCUACCCGGCAUUUCCCGCCGCCGGCCGUGAGCUCCGGAUCGCGUCCCCCCUCGCCGCCGAAGCCGAGAAUGGAAGUGGCAGGGCAGGGGGGCGGCGUCGGCGUCGGCGCCGGGGAAGGUGCUCGUCGCGGGAGGUUUCCUAGGUGCUGGAGCGCCCCAACGCCGGCCUCGUCCUCAUCACCACCGCUCGCUUCUACGCCGUCGUCCUCCCGCCCCGCGACCAGCUCACCCACGACGAAUCCUGGGCAUGGGCGUGGACGAAUGUGAAAGUGACAUCUCCUCAGCUCUCCCGGGAGGCCACCUACAAGCUCUCCCCGAAGAAAUCGACGUCCUCAAGGGAAUCUGCAAACCCUUUUGUGGAACAAGACAGUGCAAUUCUCGGUGGCAGCUGCGGAAGUGACAGUCGCUGACAAAGAGGGGAAGGAUGCACUGGACAAGCUUUGCUUUUGCAAGGUUGCAACGAUUUUUUAUUCCUAUAGAGAACAGAUUGAAGCACGUGGCCUCCCUCUAACUCCAGACCAGAAGUAUUGCUUUCGCUGCCUCCAUUCUGUCCAAUUACAUUUAAUUCAGAAGUUGCUAAUGGAAUUAUGGAACAAUGACUGGAGCAAACCUGAAGUUGCCAAAACUGGACUUGGGUCAUCAGCUGCCAUGACGACAUCAAUAGUUGCAGCUCUUCUUCACUAUCUUGGAGCUGUUAGCCUUUUAUGUUUGGGUGAACUUUCUAGUGACAGUGCAGCUGCACGAGAUCUUGACUUGCUGCAUGCAGUUUUGAUGCAGUUUCCUCAUUGAUUUUGGGUGAUGCAAGUGAUUCUGUAUCCAAAGCUUGGAGCUCAGCUGGUGUCCUCCCUCUUCUCGUUCGAGAAGAUCCCCGUGGUGACCCAGGAACAAGGGGUGUGUCAACCGAUGUAUCAUCAUACAGAUUAACUGAUACUGUUGCGGAAUUCCGUUAUAUUUAAAUUCAUGAUGUGUUCGUUUGGUGUCUC